CACUGUCAGAGUGACUCAUCAUUGUUGAUGUCACCCUUAGUCUUCUACCUAGGCAGCAUCUGUCAGUUUUUCCAUGGUUAGGUUUACUCCCACAUCCCUCUUUGGAAGCACAGCCCACAGCCAAUGUUUAAGAUGGCUUGUCCCUCAUCACUAAAUUUGGCUGCCUGAGCAUUCAGACAUCUCAAAUAUUAUCCUCAUUAACUGUUCUUCAUUUUUGUCUCCCUCUGCUUCUAGUGGCCAUGUUGCUUAAAUUCCUUGGCUUCCUCCAACCUCAAAGUGCAUCUUCCAAGCUUGGCAUGAUUGCAUAAGCCUAUAGGCCCAGCUACUCAGGAAGCUGAGAAAGACAUCUUGAGCCUAAGAGUUUGGGCCAGCCAAGGAACAUAGUAAAACACCAUUUCAAAAAAGAAAAAAAUCCAACAAAAUAAACAUAGAGC
RNAcentral lists this long non-coding RNA (434 nucleotides) under Heterocephalus glaber (naked mole-rat). RNAcentral's name for it is "lncRNA (ENSHGLG00000045677.1)". Lineage: Eukaryota; Metazoa; Chordata; Mammalia; Rodentia; Bathyergidae. The record is from RNAcentral.